RNAcentral lists this ribosomal RNA (448 nucleotides) under uncultured soil bacterium. Its description in RNAcentral is "bacterial SSU rRNA". It matches the Rfam family "Bacterial small subunit ribosomal RNA", at positions 26 to 512 of the family's 1533-position model. The record is from RNAcentral.
AGAACGAACGCUGGCGGCAUGCCUAAUACAUGCAAGUCGAACGAACUCUUCGGAGUUAGUGGCGCACGGGUGCGUAACGCGUGGGAAUCUGCCCCUUGGUUCGGAAUAACAGUUGGAAACGACUGCUAGUACCGGAUGAUGACGAAAGUCCAAAGAUUUAUCGCCAAGGGAUGAGCCCGCGUAGGAUUAGCUAGUUGGUGAGGUAAAGGCUCACCAAGGCAACGAUCCUUAGCUGGUCUGAGAGGAUGAUCAGCCACACUGGGACUGAGACACGGCCCAGACUCCUACGGGAGGCAGCAGUAGGGAAUAUUGGACAAGUGGGCGAAAGCCUAGAUCCAGCAAUGCCGCGUGAGUGAUGAAGGCCUUAGGGUUGUAAAGUCUCUUUUACCCGAGAUGAUAAUGACUAGUAUCGGGAAGAAGUAACGCCCCGGACUAACCGUCCGUGACC